UAACUAACGGGAGAAGUUAUAACGCUGUAUGUAUCUAUAACCAUAAGCGUAUAGCUUUUCCCCUUGGUUA
Molecule: microRNA precursor, 70 nt
Filed under: Danaus plexippus plexippus
Lineage: Eukaryota; Metazoa; Arthropoda; Insecta; Lepidoptera; Nymphalidae
Description: mir-965 microRNA precursor family
Rfam family: mir-965 microRNA precursor family
Source: Rfam by way of RNAcentral